AUUGAACGCUGGCGGCAGGCUUAACACAUGCAAGUCGAGCGGAGAUGAGGUGCUUGCACCUUAUCUUAGCGGCGGACGGGUGAGUAAUGCUUAGGAAUCUGCCUAUUAGUGGGGGACAACAUUCCGAAAGGAAUGCUAAUACCGCAUACGUCCUACGGGAGAAAGCAGGGGAUCUUCGGACCGUGCGCUAAUAGAUGAGCCUAAGUCGGAUUAGCUAGUUGGUGGGGUAAAGGCCUACCAAGGCGACGAUCUGUAGCGGGUCUGAGAGGAUGAUUCGCCACACUGGGACUGAGACACGGCCCAGACUCCUACGGGAGGCAGCAGUGGGGAAUAUUGGACAAUGGGGGGAACCCUGAUCCAGCCAUGCCGCGUGUGUGAAGAAGGCCUUAUGGUUGUAAAGCACUUUAAGCGAGGAGGAGGCUACUGAGACUAAUACUCUUGGAUAGUGGACGUUACUCGCAGAAUAAGCACCGGCUAACUCUGUGCCAGCAGCCGCCGCCG
This 501-nucleotide ribosomal RNA is filed under the name uncultured bacterium. RNAcentral describes it as "partial 16S ribosomal RNA". It matches the Rfam family "Bacterial small subunit ribosomal RNA", at positions 30 to 523 of the family's 1533-position model. The record is from RNAcentral.